AGCAGCCGCGGUAAUUCCAGCUCCAAUAGCGUAUAUUAAAGUUGUUGCAGUUAAAAAGCUCGUAGUUGAAUUUCGGGAUCAAUUAAUUGGUCGUGCCUAUGGUACGUACUGAUUUUAUUGGUUUCUCCCUUCUGACGAACCAUGAUGUCAUUAAUUUGGUGUCGUGGAGAAUCAGGACUGUUACUUUGAAAAAUUAGAGUGUUUAAAGCAGGCUAACGCUUGAAUACAUUAGCAUGGAAUAAUGAAAUAGGACGUUUGAUCCUAUUUUGUUGGUUUCUAGGAUCGACGUAAUGAUUAAUAGGGAUAGUUGGGGGCAUUAGUAUUCAAUUGUCAGAGGUGAAAUUCUUGGAUUUAUUGAAGACUAACUACUGCGAAAGCAUUUGCCAAGGAUGUUUUCAUUAAUCAAGAACGAAAGUUAGGGAUCGAAGACGAUCAGAUACCGUCGUAGUCUUAACCAUAAACUAUGCCGACUAGGGAUCGGAUGAUGUUAAUUUUUUAAUGUACUCAUUCGGCGUACCCG
This 520-nucleotide unclassified non-coding RNA is filed under the name uncultured Glomus. RNAcentral's name for it is "SSU rRNA". It matches the Rfam family "Eukaryotic small subunit ribosomal RNA", at positions 569 to 1089 of the family's 1831-position model. Lineage: Eukaryota; Fungi; Glomeromycota; Glomeromycetes; Glomerales; Glomeraceae. The record is from RNAcentral.